AUUGAACGCUGGCGGCAUGCUUUACACAUGCAAGUCGAACGGUAACAGGCCUUCGGGUGCUGACGAGUGGCGAACGGGUGAGUAAUGCAUCGGAACGUGCCCAGAGGUGGGGGAUAACGCAGCGAAAGCUGUGCUAAUACCGCAUGUGAUCUGAGGAUGAAAGCGGGGGACCAGGCAGCAAUGUUUGGCCUCGCGCCUUUGGAGCGGCCGAUGUCAGAUUAGGUAGUUGGUGGGGUAAAGGCCUACCAAGCCGACGAUCUGUAGCUGGUCUGAGAGGACGACCAGCCACACUGGGACUGAGACACGGCCCAGACUCCUACGGGAGGCAGCAGUGGGGAAUUUUGGACAAUGGGCGCAAGCCUGAUCCAGCAAUGCCGCGUGCGGGAAGAGGGCCUUCGGGUUGUAAACCGCUUUUGUACGGAACGAAAAGGCUCUGGCUAAUACCUGGGGCUGAUGACGGUACCGUAAGAAUAAGCACCGGCCAACUACGUG
Molecule: ribosomal RNA, 492 nt
Filed under: uncultured bacterium
Lineage: Bacteria
Description: partial 16S ribosomal RNA
Rfam family: Bacterial small subunit ribosomal RNA
Source: RNAcentral